AGCUACAGUUGGUGUUGGAAAUUUUGUGUGUAUAACUACGUCCCCACCUUGCCUUCCCUCUUCAAGCAAAAGAAAACUUUUCUUUUUGCGUGUGUGUGUUGCAGGUGGGAGGAUGGUGUACUAUACUUGUUCUGUACUACAUGCAUAUGGCACUACCAUAGCAUUUUAAUUUUUGUUAGUAUUCAUUUAUUAGAUGAUGAUUUGAAAUGAAGGGGUAUUUGAAUUUGAUAUUAAUAUUGUUCUUUUUUACAUAUGAUUCUCCACUUGAAACAUAAAUUCAAAUCCACUUUCAUUUUAAAUGCACAUCUAUCCA
RNAcentral lists this unclassified non-coding RNA (313 nucleotides) under Hevea brasiliensis (rubber tree). The record is from RNAcentral. Lineage: Eukaryota; Viridiplantae; Streptophyta; Magnoliopsida; Malpighiales; Euphorbiaceae.